CCCUGAGCCCUCAGGUGCAAGGAUGGCUCUUCCAUGACCACAUCCGGGGCAGGGUGGGGGCAUCAUGGCAGCUGUGCCCUCCAGCCACCUUGCACUCAGCUAGGAAAGCUCUGUGUGGGGGGAGGGAAGAGAGAUAGUGUGGAGCCUCUCCUCCCCCCACUUCUCCACAAACUGGUGGCAUUUGUGGUAAACCAAGGACCUGGGGAGGUGGCCUACAAGAGGAGCAGGAGCCGGCAAGGUCAGAUGCGAGGUGUCCAGCCUGCAUAAAGGGGGUGUGAGGGUGUAUCAGCAGCUGCCUUGCCAUGGCCUCCUGGGCCCUCCUGCUCCUCGCCUCGGUGCUCCUGGCCACCCCAGGUCUGACCUAUUCUGGUCUGAUCCCUGAGGACCAUGAUGACCUGUCCACGGCCGACAUUUGUCAGGAAGAGCAGUUCUUCAGGAGACUGGCCCAGGAGGCUGCCCAGGGCGACCAGUUCAACCAAUGUGAUAUUUGUCGAAUGAUAAUGACUUGGCUGAGGACUUGCGUGGGACCGUCCCAGAUUCAGGAAGCCAUUCAGAAGGCUACAACAGCGGUGUGCUCAAAGAUUCCAGCGGUGGAAAAAAAGUCUGCAAAGAUAUCCUCACCAGAGUUUUGUGGUAGUGUUGCCCAGUUUUUUCCUGAAUAGUGAUCCCUCCAGGGAUAUCUGUGUGAC
This 689-nucleotide long non-coding RNA is filed under the name Canis lupus familiaris (dog). RNAcentral's name for it is "lncRNA (ENSCAFG00845013872.1)". The record is from RNAcentral. Lineage: Eukaryota; Metazoa; Chordata; Mammalia; Carnivora; Canidae.